Molecule: long non-coding RNA, 7992 nt
Filed under: Nicotiana benthamiana
Lineage: Eukaryota; Viridiplantae; Streptophyta; Magnoliopsida; Solanales; Solanaceae
Description: long non-coding RNA (NBEN_LNC021277)
Source: RNAcentral
GCUUUUUUUCUUAUUCCAAAAAAAAUACUUUUUGCUUCAAUGGUUAUUCAUAAAAGAAAUUUCAAAGAGCAAUAGAUAGCGGACAACAGAGACUAUCUUGUCUAUAGUUAUUUAACUUGUUGAACCCAUUGCAACAUACAACAACAAUGGAGAGGAACGCUUCUGAUUAGAUCAUUGAAGAAAUUAUGGACAUACAGAGCAAAGAACACAAUUGCAAGCUUUAUAGCAAAAAUCAUUCCUCAAUUUGUGAUCCGGGAACGCUGGAGAUCGCAGUGUGCAAGUAAGUAUGGUUCUGAGCUCCCUACAUCCAAAGAUCAAUUAGUUUUAUUUUUCAAAAUAUCACCCAGUUAGUCAAACAAAAAUUUGGAAAACGAUAAAGUAAUACAAAGUGGGAGAGAAUUCAAAGUAUGAUGGAAAUCCCUAUAAAUCAGAGUAUGUUGGAAAUCUCUAUAAAUCAGAAAAUAUAUAAGAUUAUCAAAUGGUUUUUACCAUUUGACAAUAUCUAUAAAUCUGAAAAUAUAUAAGAUUAUCAAAUUUUAAAAACACCUCUCGUAUGCAAAAUCAAUAGUGAUGAUAGUUAUGUGGAAGGAUAUUGUAGGGUUGGUGGUACUAUUAGAGAUAGUAGGGGAAAACUCAUCCUCGCAUAAUUUGGUACCUGGUUGAAGAAACCUACAGAGAUUCUGAUCGAUACUGAAGUAGAGCAAGCACGAGUGAGAAGACGAACGCAUAAAAUAUUUUGGAAAGAAUUUUCUGUUCAUUAUCAAUAGAACGGUAAUACAAAUGAGCUAACUACACCUAUGUAUAAUACAAUGCUAGCCGGUGCCAGCUGUCUAACUAACCUCCACUACCUCCACUAUUAACAUAAUUAACUAACAACUAAUUACACUUCACUAACUAACAUAUCUAAGACAUAUUAGAUCGCUAGUGCAUAGUUAGGCAGUUAGUUAAUUCCUUCACACAUACCCCCACCCCCUCAAGCUAGGAGUUAUGAAGAUGUUUUUCAUGCCUAGCUUGGAUAGCAAAUAAUGAUGUUGAGUGAUGCCUAAGCCCUUAGUAAGAAUAUCUACAUGUUGCUCUGAAGAGGGGAGAUGUAUUAGAUGAACGAGCCCAAGUUGCACCUUCUCGAGAAUGAAAUGACAGUCGAUGUCAAUAUGCUUUGUGUGCUCAUAAAACACUUGAUUAGCAUCAAUUUGAAUUUUUGACUUACUGUCACAUAACAAAGAAACUGGUUGUUAAAUAUGCACCCCUAAACUUCUCAAACAAGCCAGUUACCCACACUAUUUCAACAACUUUUGAUGCCAGGCUUCGAUACUAUGCCUCAAUUGAGCUUCUGGAUAUAGUAGUUUGUUUCUUCGACUUCCAUGAGAUCAAAGAGCUCCCAAACUUAAGCAAAUAGCCAGUAAUAGAUCUCCUAGUGUUUGGGCAAGAUUCCCAAUCUGCAUCAUAAUAGGCUGUAAGCUGAGUUGAAGCAUUUGUAGAUAUUAAGAUUCCCAGACCUGGAGACUGCUUGACAUACUUGAUCACCUUGAUGGUAGCCUCCAUAUGCAAUAUUUUAGGACAAUGCAUGAACUGACUCAAUCACUGCACUGCAAAUGCAAUAUCUGAUCUAGUAAUGGUGAGAUAGAGAAGUCUCCCCACCAAUCUUUGAUAAGCACUAGGAUCAUCAAGAACUUUAUCAUCUUUAAUCCCAAACUAAGCGUCAAACUCCAAUGCUGUAAGCUUCUUGUUCACCUCCAAAGGUGCCUUGAAUGGCUUUGCACUUGAGAGUCCCAUGUCUGAUAUGAGUUUAAUGCAUAUUUUCUUUGAUGCAUAAGAAUUCCCUCUUUGCUUCUAGCAAAUUCAAUUCCUAAGAAAAACAUCAGCUCCCCCAAGUCCUUGAUCUUAAAGACUUGUUGUAGGUACUCUUUAGUCUCCUGUAUUAAGUUGGCGCUAUCCACUAUGAUUAACAGGUCAUCAACAUAAACUAAGACCAGUACUAUUUUCCUUUGAACCUUUAUGGUGAACAAGGAAUAAUCUAAAUGACUGAAAGAAUCCAGAAGCUAUCAAAGCAGAUGUUAACUUGAUGUUCCACUGCCGAGAAGCUUUCUUAAUCCCAUAUACUGAUUUGAGUAGUCGACACACUUGAUGUUGUCCUUCACAAACAAAAUCCUGAGGCAACUCCACAUAAGUUUCUUCAGUUAAAUCACCUUGUAGAAAAGAAUUGUAAACAUCCAUUUGAUGAAUUUCCCAGUUAUUCAUUGUUGCUAGGGAAAUAACAGUCCUCAUUGUUACCAUCUUGACAACAGGUGAGAAUGUUUCUUGAUAAUCCAAUCCCUCUCUUUGGCUAUGCCCUUUUGUGACUAACCUUGCCUUAAACCUUUCCACUUCACCUGUAGAUUUGUAUUUAAUCUUGUAUACAUAUCGAUAACCAAUGGCCCUUUUUCCUUGGGAUAAAUACAUCAUUGUCCAUGUAUUGUUGUCUUGCAAUGCCUUGAUCUCAUUCUGCAUUGCCUCUAUCCAUAUGUCAUCCUUGACUGCUUCUGUAUAGUUUUUGGGCUCAACUUCUGUAGAGAAUUUGGUGAUGAAGCUUUGAUAUUUGGAGGAUAAGGAGUCAUAACUAAUGACAUCUGAGAUUGGGUACAAACAAACAUGUACCCCUGACUAUUUGUCAGUCCUCACAUAAUCUUUAAGACAAAUAGAUGGCUUAGUUUUCUCCCUGAUCUUCUUUCUGCCAAUGUUAUUGUUUGAUGUUCUACUAUUGCUCCUGUGUGUUUAAUUGAAUUUGUCACAGCUUCAUAUGGGGCAUGAGAAUCAUGGUUCUAUAGAUCAAUAUCUGCUGAUGCACCUGGAAUUUGAUGUGAAGUAGAAUAUGCAACAUUUUGAUCAUGCAGAAUGUUUCUACUUGCAAUAUCCAACUCAUCCACCACACAAAACCUUUUCAAGCUUGCAAUGUCAGAACUUUGAAAGUUUUACCUUUCAUGAGUAUCCUGAAAAGGAAAUAUGCUCUCAUGAAAUACAACAUCUCUACUAAUAAAACACGCUUUGUUAAUCAAAUUAGUAGUUUGUAUCCUUUUUUAUAAACUCCAUAUCCCAACAACACUAAUUUCACUGCUCUUAGACCAAACUUGUCAUGUUUAGGCAAAUAGUUGCAUAACAAAGGCAACCUAUCAACCUCAUAUGAGCCAAAGAAGGUGUCAUGUUGUACAAUACUUCAAAAGGAGAUCUUCCAUUCAAAAUAGUAGAUUGUACCCUGUUUAUUAUAUAUGUUGUUGCUUCAACACAUGUACCAAAGAAUCGAAUUGGAGUCGUUUCUAGGAUGUGCCUAUGUUUGCUUUCCACCACUUCAUUCUGCUAAGGAGUAUAAGGACAUGAACUCUAAUGCAAAAUCCCAUGACAUGUAAACAAUUCCUUACAAGUCAUGUUAAAAAAUUCAGAUCCAUUGUCUAACCUGAAGACUUUAAUCAUCUUUCCAAUUUGAUUAAGGAUCAUUGCAAUAAAUGUUUUAAGAAACUCAGAUAAUCAGAUUUUACUCUCAUUAAGAAAAUCCAUGUCCACCUUGUAUGAUCAUCUACCAAUGUCAAAAACUAAUUUAUUUCAUUAUAGGUUAGGACCUUAUAAGGGCCCCAUACAUCCAUGUGUAUCGAAUCAAAAGGUUCAUCUGCUCGACUAAUACUAACAGAGAGUGGAAAUCUUAUUUGUUUAGACAAUGGACACACAUCACAAUGAUGUAAAUGAAAAGCAUCUUUAUUUCUAAAACUAUAAAUCUUUCUAAUAACUAACAUGGGCACAUGGCCUAAUCUCCUGUGCCAAAUCUCAUGUUCUUCCAUCUGUUCCACUAUCAUAGCCUUUGCUCUAUCUAUUCUAGCUUCCUUAUGGUGUGUCCUUAGAAUGUACAAAUCAUCAUCCUUACAACCAGUCAUCUUCACUUUUCCAGUGCAAAGAUCCUAAAAUAUGAAGUGUCCAGAAAACAACAUUACAUAUCAAUUGAGUUCCUUUGUCAAUUUAGACACUAACAAUAGAUUGAACUUAAAAUUUGGCACACAAAGCACAUCAUUAAGGGUAUCACCUCCUCCCAAAGGUAUGUUUCCUAUCUUAGUCACUUUAGUAGACUCUCAUGUGGGCAUUUGCACAGUUUCAGCACUUCCUACUGUACCAUCAUCCAACAGCAAACUUUCAUUUCUUGUCAUAUGAUUCCACUAUCCAAUAUAUUGCAUAAUCUUUAACAAGAAAAUGCGUACCUACUAAAUUUGCAUUUGCUUUAGAAGUGGAAGUCUUACUCAGCAUGUUGAAUAGCAUAUUGUAUUGUUCCUGUGUGAUCAUUGGAGAAGCAAUGUUGGCAGAAUUGAUGUUUCCAUGAUUGGUUGCACUAGCCUCAGACUGCAUAGAAUGUCUAUCCACCACAUUAGCUCUGGCCUUGGACUUAAAACCUGCAGGGUAUCAAAUCAGAUUGUAGUAGUUUUCCUUAAGAUGGCCCUUCUUGUUACAGUAGCCACAAUGCAUCAGCUUGAAACAUCCAUCUCUUGUGUGACCCUUUCCAUGACAAUAGUCACAUUCUAUACCCCAACUUCUCUUCUGCUUAGGCAUAUUAUUUUUGGCUGUGAAUAAUGCAGCUGACUCUAUUGUUUCAUUUGUGACAUAGUUACUUCCUGCCACCAGCUUUUGGCUCUCAUCCUGAAUUAUCAAGACAUACGCUUGAUUCACAUUAAUCACUUCAGAUUUCAUUAAGAUUUGACUCCUUGCCUGACUAUAACUUUCAUUUAGUCCCAUUAGAAACUGUAAUAGGAGUUGAUACUGUAAAUGCACUACAAAAUAUUUUGAUUUCUCACAUUCAUAUGAAGGAGGUGGCAUCAUUGAGUCAUACUCGUCGCAUAAAUCCUUCAACCUCGAAUAGUACACUGACACAGAUGAUGUUCCUUUUGUUAAAGUAAAGAUCUCCUUAUGAAGAGAAUACAAACGUGAUCCAUUCACUUUAUUGAACCUCUCCUGCAGUUCUUCCAAACUAAGAGUGCAUUAAAACUAAAUAGAAUUCCACUAAGCAAUUCUUUGCUCACGUUUCCAGUAAGCCAUGAGACUACUAUUGCAUUACACUAUCCCACUGAUGUCCUAAAGCUAGUCCAAAAGUAUCCCUAGCGAUUGUGCCAUCAAUAAAACCUAGCUUAUUUCUUCUUAGGAGUGAAACUCUCAUUGCUCGAUCCUACAAAGUGUAGUUUUUCAUUCCUAUAAGCUGAAUACCAACUGAUAAGGACCUGGGGGCAUCAGAAGGAUAAAGAUAGAGGGGAUGAUUGUGAUCAAGUUCCUGAAUCAGAUCAAUUCUCAAUCGCCAUGAUUAUACAUUAAAAAUUCACUCAAUUACGGAUGAAGAGAAGAAUCUCUAGUCAAAACAAAAAUCAGAAACAAAAUUUAUCAAUUGAAUCUAGGGCUUGUUACAACUCACAUUAGAAACCGUUUUUCUUAUUAUUGUCAAUAAAUCUUUCGAUCGCCUUCAAUCCGCGAAGAACAAUCCUUAGAUCUUACUGACGAGACCUCGCUCUGAUACCAUGAAGAAACCUACACAGAUUUUGAUCGAUACUGAAGCAGAGCAAGCACGAGUGAGAAGAAGAACACAUGCAAGAUUUUGGAGAGAAUUUUCUGUUCAUUAUCUAUGGAACAGUAAUACAAAUGAGCUAACUACACCUAUAUAUAAUAUAAUGCUAGUUGGUGGUAGCUGUCUAACUAACCUCCACUACUAACAUAAAUUUAACUAACAACUAAUUACACUUCACUAUCUAACAUAGCUAAAACAGAUUAGUUUGUUAGUGCAGAGUUAGGCAGUUAAUUAAUUCCUUCACACUGGUACUAGUAAUUGAGCGGAAGGCCAGACUGUGCUAACUAGAUUACAAAAGGUUGUCGCAAUGGGAAUAAAUGAAAUGAUUUUAGAACCAGAUUCUCGUGUGUUCAUUAAAAGAGGAAGCAGAUAUACCAUGGAGGCUCCUAAAACAGUGAACAAGAUCAAAAAAAUUGUGGAGGAAAAGAAGGUGACAGUGAAGCACUGCUACAGAGAAGCCAAUAGAAUUGCCGAUAGACUAGCCGCCAUUAGCCACACAGACAAACAACACAUCACUACUUCAAAUUCUGAAGCAUUAUCGAGACAAAUUAGGGGGUUACUACAACUUGAUAGAUUGGAAUUGGCAGUGUUUCGAGUCAGACAAUUGAAAGCCUCAGAAAUCCAAUUUGAUUCUCCAUGAUAGUUUUGGAGCUGGUGCAAUGCCACUUUUGUUUCCCUUAUGCUUUAAUCAAAAGUAGGGAUCUUUUUCCUCUCAAAUCUACUCAAUUUUUCUGGAAUUUCAAUAAAGGCCGCACAAUUUUGUUUUGAAAAAAAAAAAGUAUAUAUCGACGAGUUAGUAAGGUAUUCAAUUCCAAUUGUUGAAGAUACGAUAGUCCAAAACUACGAAUUUGGACAUAUUUUGGAGCCAAUUCAACAGUGCUUAUUAAACAUGUACCGUUGACAGAGAUGAUGUUAAUUCUUGAUGUAUUAAUAUUAUUAGUGACGAAGUCAGGAAAUUCAAUAAGGGUAUUCAAUUUGAACACCCUUUGUCAGUGGACUAUGCAAGGGUGUUUAAAAUCUAUUUUUAAUCAAUAACAAGUAAUAUUUGACCUUAUAUGUGAUAUAAUUUUUCGACAAGGAUGGUCAGUUGACCACUCUUCAACCAAAAUAGCUUCGCCCCUUAAUAUCAUACACAAACCUAAUUGCAGGAGGGCAUUGGGAAUAAGAGAAAGAGAUAGAAGAAACACUCAUUAUCAAACUUCAUUAAAAACGGCAAAAAAAUGUAUACGUACAAACUUCAUAUAAUUGUUGAGAAACUUGAGCACAAAAAAUCCUUUUUUACUCAAGAAAUGAAUACAAUAUAAUGCAUUAUUGUCUCUCUUUUCUUCUUUGUCAACCUUUAAUUUGCCGUAUUCCUACAUUUUCAAUGGCAAUAUCCAAAUUUUAGCAUUUUGGAAGAUAUUUUGGAGGUGGCAAAAGUGACUCAUUAGGACCUUUGCCAUUAUCUACAAGAAAUGCCAUCUUCAAUCCCCAUGGUGUAUGCACCUCUAAAUGGCAAUGCAUUAACCAUACUCCUGCAAUUUCAUAAAAUAUUUAACAACCAUUAUAUAGGUGUCAUGAAUUUAACUAAUAUACACUGAUAAGGCAGCUUGGUACACUAAGCUUUUGUGAUAUGUAGGGUUCGAGGAAGGGACGGACCACAAGAGUCUAUUGUAUGCAACCUUACCUUGCAUUUCUACAAAAGACUAUUUUCACAGCUCGAACCCGUGACCUCUUGGUCACAUAGCAUCAAGUUUUACGCAAGGCUCCCCUUCUAAGUUAUAUACACCGAUAUGACAAAAAAAUAACAUGUUGUUACUUCAUUUUUUCUAUAGUAUACCUGGAUUGUCAGCGCGAAAUCUUAUAGCUAACCAUCCUCCAGCAGGAACUCCAAUUGUAUUCCUCUCAACAGGAUCAACAAGAUUAAAUUUCUUUGGAUCUGUUUUUGAAUUAAAAUUUCCUAGCCCUUUACCCACAGCAAAGAAAUUAAAUCCAUGAAAAUGGAUAGGAUGGUUUUCUGGAGCUAUAAUUCCAGUAUCCUGCAAAACUAAUUGAACUGUUGCAUUAUAUGGCAACCUGUAAACCUUCGUCCCGCUCGUCGUAGCCAAGUUUACUGGUGGUUUUCCAGUAUAGUUGAAUUUAAUUGGAGGAUUUUGAGGAAAAUCUGUUGUGUAAACUCCUUUGAUACCAAAGAAAUGUGCUUGUAAAAGUGCUUUAGUUGGCAUAACAAAUGUGACAUUGUUUAUACUAGCAACAACUCUGCUUCCAUUACCUUGUUUGCAACUUACAUGGAUUAAUUCCUAACCCUACUGUGAAAAACAACGAAUGAUCCACAUUUUUUGGAACUUUAGCAGGGUAUUUUUUCGAGUUGAGGCUUCGAAGAGAGUCUACAAAAUUGUUAGCCACAGGGGUCGCAUUUUUGGGCGGAGUGUUUGUUAGGGUUGUGACUG